AGUGAACGCUGGCGGUAGGCCUAACACAUGCAAGUCGAACGGCAGCACAGUAAGAGCUUGCUCUUACGGGUGGCGAGUGGCGGACGGGUGAGGAAUACAUCGGAAUCUACUUUUUCGUGGGGGAUAACGUAGGGAAACUUACGCUAAUACCGCAUAUGACCUACGGGUGAAAGCAGGGGAUCUUCGGACCUUGCGCGAUUGAAUGAGCCGAUGUCGGAUUAGCUAGUUGGCGGGGUAAAGGCCCACCAAGGCGACGAUCCGUAGCUGGUCUGAGAGGAUGAUCAGCCACACUGGAACUGAGACACGGUCCAGACUCCUACGGGAGGCAGCAGUGGGGAAUAUUGGACAAUGGGCGCAAGCCUGAUCCAGCCAUACCGCGUGGGUGAAGAAGGCCUUCGGGUUGUAAAGCCCUUUUGUUGGGAAAGAAAAGCAGCAGGUUAAUACCCCGCUGUUCUGACGUUACCCAAAGAAUAAGCACCGGCUAACUUCGUG
This 492-nucleotide ribosomal RNA is filed under the name uncultured bacterium. RNAcentral's name for it is "partial 16S ribosomal RNA". It matches the Rfam family "Bacterial small subunit ribosomal RNA", at positions 29 to 507 of the family's 1533-position model. The record is from RNAcentral.